Long non-coding RNA from Gasterosteus aculeatus aculeatus (three-spined stickleback), 2227 nucleotides. The record is from Ensembl. Lineage: Eukaryota; Metazoa; Chordata; Actinopteri; Perciformes; Gasterosteidae.
GAGGAGUCGCCCCCUGCUGGUCACUACAGAGAAGUAGAGUCAUUUCCUCAUAGACGUCUAUGGGAGCAGAGGAGUCGCCCCCUGCUGGUCACGCUUUGACUUUCACCAAGUCAUCUCCAAGAAACGACUCACAAACGUUUUAUAUGUCGCCCAAAGUCCCAUUUGAUCGCUUCACGAUCCGGGUCUCGUUGAGGCUCCGCCUCGUAGUCCGGAUUCGGGGAUUAAUCAAGUUUGGAGCGCGACGAUGCAGCAGAAGCACCUGCUGCCCUUUGCUCCGUCUGCUGCCGCUUUCUGGUUGCUAUGCCAACCACAAGGGUUGCUCACGUCUGAGCAUGCUCAGUGCGGCUUCCUUCUCCUCAUAACAAUAGCCAGAGCGAGGGCUCUCUCACACACACACACACUCACACACACUCACACACACAGCUUCAGACGGUAAGUACACAGACCUGCAGAAAAGCAUUGAUCUCCUUCAUGUGAGUCUGUAGCUGCAGAACCAGAGGAAGCAUGUGCUCUUUAUUUAUUUCUUUUAUACAACACCAUUGUUCCACUCCAGGUGUGUGUGUGUGUGUGUGUGUGUGUGUGCGUUGUUUUUAUGAAUGGUGCAUUCUGCUCACUUGGAUGUGUAGUAGUCGACAAAGCAGAGGAGUCGCUCAAUAAUUCAUGUGGAGGGAAGUCAGCAUGUGUAACGCGACGCUUUAUUUCUUACCACGUCCUCCCUUAUUUAUACCUGCAUUAUUAUUCUUUGUUCAGAUCAUGUGACUCUUAAACAGUAGAUCCAGUUGUUAUUAUACUCAUUAUUAUAUUAUCGCUGGAUUCCUGCUGUUGUCUCUGCGUGUAAACUAGAGACGUAACCAUGGCGAUGGGGCUCUAAUCAAUUCGAGCAUGUCAUGUUUGAGUAAAUAGUCAGAGACGUGUCAGUUAUUCAUCAACAAACAAUAAUCCCGCCAGACAACAAAUUAUUAUCUCAGUAUUAAUCCGUCAAAGACUGUCAGACCUCUAGACCUGCAGGCUCCACUUGUAGGUCCUAGACUUGUAGGCUCUAGACUUGUAGGUUCUAGACUUGUAGGUCCUAGACUUGUAGGCUCUAGACUUGUAGGCUCUAGACUUGUAGGUCCUAGACUUGUAGGCUCUAGACUUGUAGACUCUAGCCUUGUAGGUUCUAGACUUGUAGGCUCUAGACUUGUAGACUCUAGCCUUGUAGGUUCUAGACUUGUAGGCUCUAGACUUGUAGGCUCUAUUCUUGUAGGCUCUAGACUUGUAGGUUCUAUACUUGUAGGCUCUAGAUUUGUAGGCUCUAGACUUGUAGGCUCUAUAUUUGUAGGUCUUGGACUUGUAGGUGUUAGAUUUUUAGGUCCUAGACUUGUAGGCUCUAGACCUGUAGGCUCUAGACUUGUAGGCUCUAUAUUUGUAGGUCUUGGACUUGUAGGUGUUAGAUUUUUAGGUCCUAGACUUGUAGGCUCUAGACCUGUAGGCUCCAGACUUGUAGGUCUUAUACUUGUAGGCUCUAGACUUGUAGGCUCCAGACUUGUAGGUCUUAUACUUGUAGGCUCUAGACAGAAGUGUAGACUCAGAACCAGUAGACUCUAGGCUUUUAGACUCUAGACUUGUAUCCUCCUCUUCCCUGAAACCCUGUAAGUAUUGAUUCAGGUCCUCGGAGGCUUGUUAUCAUCAGACUGAUAUAUUAAUAAUGUUAAUAUAAAAUAUUGAUAAACGGAUCUCGAUGCUUCUUCCAUCGGUCAAAUAAAUCUUAGUAGUUACGGGUGAAGAAGAGGUGAACUAGUGUGGACUUAAGAGGUCACAUGAGGCUAAUUCUCCGUAAUCACUGAACCAGUCUGUCUUCCUUAAAAAGAUGCUGGUGUUCUAUUUGCUCCUUUGCUUUGAAGACAAAAGGAGAAGCAGUAAUCUGCUCCAGUGUCAGAGGUCAGCUUCAUUUUGACGUCUGGUGACCAUGUUUUGAGGGAACAGAGCUCAGAGCCUUCAUCAGGUCUCUUCCUCCUCUAUAUAUAUAUAUAUAUAUAUGUAUAUAUAUAUAUCAUCAUAUAUCUAUCUAUCUAUCUAGCUUAUAUAUAUAUAUAUAUAUACUGUAUAUAUGUAUGCGCUUCAUUUCUUCACCUCAUCAAAUGUGUGAGGAUCACAAACCAUCACCUGGGGACUGUAAUCAAUCGGUACCACGGUUACAUCUGGGUGUGUGUGUGUGUCUGUGCCCAGCAGAGUGUGUGUGUGUGUG